GCUUUGUUGAACUUAAGGACAUAAAAGCAUAUUAAAAAAAUCACUGAAAAGUGAUAAUUUUAAAAUUACAGGAAAGUGCCACUCGGAGGUUAAGCAAAAUUAAAUUAAAACUUGUAGCUACUUUAGUUUUUUCAAUUUAUAAAUCUAGUUUAAAUUAAACUAAAAAGAAAUAUAUCUUUUUUGUAAACAAACACAUUUAACGGCUAAACAGCUGGCUCCGGUUGGAUGAUACUGCGCAGGACGAGUGUAAUAUCCACCACCGUCUCGGAGGUAGGUGUAGAAAAGUGUUACACUUUUUUUCCUACAGCAUUUCAAAGAAACGAGUUGUACGCGUUCUACGACAGAAGUUGAGUGUAUCGUGAAAAAAAGUGUAAACACUAGAAAAACAAAGAAACAAGAAAGUGUAACACUUUUACACUUUUCUUACACUUUUCAAGAACUAGUGUUACACUUAAAACAAAGGAACAGAUAUGACGACUGUCGAAAUUAUUUGACAGGGAGAUGAAAGAAUGGCCAAAAGCGAGGUUAGGUUUAGUUUAGAUGUGUUUUGUUUAUUUCUUGCAAGGAAAACUAAAUAAAAAGAUACGCCCUGGUCUAAUGUUAGUCAAGAGAAAUAUAAUAGUACAUCAGGACAAAUUGUAACAUUAAUGGAAAAAAGUUAUUUAGAAGAAAAGUAACAUUGGAGAAACGUUCUUCAACGAAAAACAGCAACCAUUAAAUUUGUGUCCAAGAACGGCCUAUCCUUUUAUGGUUUAACAACCAAAUUAUUUACAGAAGGAAAUGACAUAUACAUACAGUGUGUCGUAUUUAAGAUGAAGACAGCCCUAUAUGUUGGCUAUUUCAAUAAAUACAGAUUUAAAGUUUUGCACAGUCAUACAGGUUGAAUGUUUACAUUUUUUAAGAUACAUACUCAGCUGAAAUUUAAAUUUAAACGCAGCCUACUGCGACUCCACAAACAGGGCAAACUUUCGAUACUUUUCUUCCCGUUACAGAUAUCGAAAAAAGUUAUUUUAAAAAGAUGUUCCAAAUAUUAUUCUAACCCCAUAUACCAGAUUUCAUAACAAAAUUCGAACUUUUAGUUUUUUUACUACUUGUAGUCAGGCUCCUAAAACCCAAAACUCAGGACCCUAAAAAACGAAUUUUAGGGUCCUGACUAGAAAUGCUGAAAAAAGCAAAAGUGCGAAUUUUGUCAUGCAAUAUGGUAUGUGGGGUUAGAAUAAGAUUUGGAAGUACUUUUUCAAAUAACUUUUUCCGAUAUCUCUACCGCGAAGCAAAAUAUAGAAAAUAAUUUACCGUUUGUAGAUUCGCAGUAGGCCGCAAUUAAAAUUUAAAUUUCAGUUGAGUAUCUUAAAAAAUGUUAAUCUGCACCUGCAACUUGUAUAACUGUGCAAAACUUCAAAUAUGUAUUUAUUUUGAUAGCCGAAAUAUAGAGCUGUCUUCAUCUUAAAUGUUUCAUUGAUUAAAUAUAAAUUUUAUUUAUUGUUAAUAAAAAUUUAAAUUUCUGGUGUAACUAUAUUUAUAUUAAAUAAUUAAUUCA
Molecule: long non-coding RNA, 1537 nt
Organism: Diabrotica virgifera virgifera (western corn rootworm)
Lineage: Eukaryota; Metazoa; Arthropoda; Insecta; Coleoptera; Chrysomelidae
Exons: 2
Source: RefSeq, a predicted model, not a curated record